UCCUACGGGAGGCAGCAGUAGGGAAUCUUGGACAAUGGGCGCAAGCCUGAUCCAGCCAUGCCGCGUGAGUGAAGAAGGCCUUAGGGUCGUAAAGCUCUUUCGCCUGUGAUGAUAAUGACAGUAGCAGGUAAAGAAACCCCGGCUAACUCCGUGCCAGCAGCCGCGGUAAU
RNAcentral lists this ribosomal RNA (170 nucleotides) under uncultured Alphaproteobacteria bacterium. RNAcentral describes it as "partial 16S ribosomal RNA". It matches the Rfam family "Bacterial small subunit ribosomal RNA", at positions 337 to 524 of the family's 1533-position model. Lineage: Bacteria; Pseudomonadati; Pseudomonadota; Alphaproteobacteria. The record is from RNAcentral.